Molecule: transfer RNA, 74 nt
Filed under: Operophtera brumata (winter moth)
Lineage: Eukaryota; Metazoa; Arthropoda; Insecta; Lepidoptera; Geometridae
Rfam family: tRNA
About the family: Transfer RNA (tRNA) molecules are approximately 80 nucleotides in length. Their secondary structure includes four short double-helical elements and three loops (D, anti-codon, and T loops).
Source: Rfam by way of RNAcentral
CCGCCGGUGGCAGAGCGGUGAAACGCAUCUCCGUUUCAAGGAGAAUGUCGCGGGUUUGAAUCCCGUCUGUUUGG